RNAcentral lists this ribosomal RNA (254 nucleotides) under uncultured bacterium. RNAcentral describes it as "partial 16S ribosomal RNA". It matches the Rfam family "Bacterial small subunit ribosomal RNA", at positions 524 to 776 of the family's 1533-position model. The record is from RNAcentral.
CACGUAGGGUGCGAGCGUUGUCCGGAAUUAUUGGGCGUAAAGAGCUCGUAGGCGGUGUGUCGCGUCGGCCGUGAAAACCUGCAGCUUAACUGUGGGCUUGCGGUCGAUACGGGCAUCACUGGAGUUCGGCAGGGGAGACUGGAAUUCCUGGUGUAGCGGUGAAAUGCGCAGAUAUCAGGAGGAACACCGGUGGCGAAGGCGGGUCUCUGGGCCAAUACUGACGCUGAGGAGCGAAAGCGUGGGGAGCGAACGGG